RNAcentral lists this ribosomal RNA (440 nucleotides) under uncultured bacterium. RNAcentral's name for it is "partial 16S ribosomal RNA". It matches the Rfam family "Bacterial small subunit ribosomal RNA", at positions 338 to 795 of the family's 1533-position model. The record is from RNAcentral.
CCUACGGGUGGCAGCAGUGGGGAAUAUUGCACAAUGGGGGAAACCCUGAUGCAGCGACGCCGCGUGAGUGAAGAAGGACUUCGUUAUGUAAAGCUCUAUCAGCAGGGAAGAAAAUGACGGUACCUGAGUAAGAAGCCCCGGCCAACUACGUGCCAGCAGCCGCGGUCAUACGUAGGGGGCAAGCGUUAUCCGGAUUUACUGGGGGUAAAGGGAGCGUAGACGGCAGUGCAAGUCUGGCGUGAAAGGCGGGGGCUCAACCCCCGGACUGCUCUGGAAACUGUACGGCUGGAGUGCAGGAGAGGUAAGUGGAAUUCCUAGUGUAGCGGUGAAAUGCGUAGAUAUUAGGAGGAACACCAGUGGCGAAGGCGGCCUACUGGACGGUGACUGACGCUGAGGCUCGAAAGCGUGGGGAGCAAACAGGAUUAGAUACCCCUGUAGUC